CUACGGGUGGCUGCAGUGAGGAAUAUUGCACAAUGGGGGGAACCCUGAUGCAGCAACGCCGCGUGGAGGAUGACGCAUUUCGGUGUGUAAACUCCUUUUAUCUGUCAAGAAAAUGACGGUAGCAUAUGAAUAAGCACCGGCUAACCCCGUGCCAGCAGCCGCGGUAAUACGGAGGGUGCAAGCGUUACUCGGAAUCACUGGGCGUAAAGGACGCGUAGGCGGGUUGGAAAGUCAGGUGUGAAAUCCUACAGCUUAACUGUAGAACUGCACUUGAAACUUCUAAUCUAGAGUAUGGGAGGGGGAGAUGGAAUUAGUGGUGUAGGGGUAAGAUCCGUAGAUAUCACUAGGAAUACCUAAAGCGAAGGCGAUCUCCUGGAACAUUACUGACGCUAAGGCGUGAAAGCGUGGGGAGCAAACAGGAUUAGAUACCCCUGUAGUC
RNAcentral lists this ribosomal RNA (439 nucleotides) under uncultured bacterium. RNAcentral describes it as "partial 16S ribosomal RNA". It matches the Rfam family "Bacterial small subunit ribosomal RNA", at positions 339 to 795 of the family's 1533-position model. The record is from RNAcentral.